CCUACGGGAGGCAGCAGUAGGGAAUCUUCCACAAUGGGCGCAAGCCUGAUGGAGCAACACCGCGUGAGUGAAGAAGGGUUUCGGCUCGGAAAGCUCUGUUGUUGGAGAAGAACGUGCGUGUGAGUAACUGUUCACGCAGUGACGGUAUCCAACCAGAAAGUCAAGGCUAACUACGUGACAGCCGCCGCGGUAAUACGUAGGUGGCAAGCGUUAUCCGGAUGUGUUGGGCGUAAAGCGAGCGCAGGCGUGUGGUUAGGUCUGAUGUGAAAGGCUUCAGCUUAACCGAAGAAGUGCAUCGGAAACUGGGGGACUUGAGUGCAGAAGAGGACAGUGGAAUUCCAGGUGUAGCGGUGGAAUGCGUAGAUAUAAGGAAGAACACCAGUGGCGAAGGCGGCUGGCUGGUCUGCAACUGACGCUGAGGCUCGAAAGCAUGGGUAGCGAACAGGAUUAGAUACCCGUGUAGUC
Molecule: ribosomal RNA, 465 nt
Filed under: uncultured bacterium
Lineage: Bacteria
Description: partial 16S ribosomal RNA
Rfam family: Bacterial small subunit ribosomal RNA
Source: RNAcentral